Molecule: ribosomal RNA, 254 nt
Filed under: uncultured bacterium
Lineage: Bacteria
Description: partial 16S ribosomal RNA
Rfam family: Bacterial small subunit ribosomal RNA
Source: RNAcentral
UACGUAGGGUGCGAGCGUGUCCGGAAUUAUUGGGCGUAAAGAGCUCGUAGGCGGUGUGUCACGUCGGCCGUGAAAACCUGGGGGCUUAACUCUGGGCGUGCGGUCGAUACGGGCAUCACUAGAGUUCGGCAGGGGAGACUGGAAUUCCUGGUGUAGCGGUGAAAUGCGCAGAUAUCAGGAGGAACACCGGUGGCGAAGGCGGGUCUCUGGGCCGAUACUGACGCUGAGGAGCGAAAGCAUGGGUAGCGAACAGG